Molecule: long non-coding RNA, 714 nt
Organism: Micropterus salmoides (largemouth bass)
Lineage: Eukaryota; Metazoa; Chordata; Actinopteri; Centrarchiformes; Centrarchidae
Exons: 2
Source: RefSeq, a predicted model, not a curated record
UUUUGAUUUUGUCAGACUGUUGAAGGAUAAUUUUAACUUCAGAUAAACUUGAAUGUAUUUUUUUUUCUCCACAGAAUAAGGACUGGAUGUUGCCCACCAUGACUCACUGGAAGCAUGUUAGGAAAAGGGAUCUCUCAAUAUCCCGUAUAAACAGGAGGAAUCAUUAAAUGUUUCCAUGUUCAUAUCCCUUUCAAUACAAACUGAACUUGUGAAAUUGUGAAUAUAUCCUUUGAGGCAAAAGACUCAAAACAAUCCCACUUCUCAAGCUGUUUCAAAAUGCAGCUCCAGGCUUUACACAAAUUCAAAGAGACAACAUCACAUCACCUCUAUCUUCCCUCUUUUGAUGGGUUACCUGUAAUUUUUACAGUUGAUUGAUUUAAAGAGUUUUCUGAUAAUCUUUAAAACACUUUAUAGGAAUUGCUGCUCUCCUAUAUCGUAGGCACAGCGUAGCCUCAGAGGCAGGACCUGCCUUGGCUGUCAGCGCCACUGGAGCUUCCUGUCUGAGGAUCUAAGGAAAUUUGGAUUUAAAGAGUGUGUGUUGGUUUAUCUGAGCCAUGGGUGAAGCUGGAGCUGUUCCAGAGUGUGGCGUUGCUCAGGGCAUUUGGUCAAACACGUUUGCAAGAAGUCCCGACAACCUGGAGAUAAAGAAGGAGAAGACAGAUGAAUGUGAUCCAUCUGAAUAUGAACUAAAAUGAACAGAUUUGUGUCUGCUGA